Archocentrus centrarchus (flier cichlid) is the source of this 496-nucleotide non-coding RNA. NCBI's taxonomy places the organism in Eukaryota, Metazoa, Chordata, Actinopteri, Cichliformes, Cichlidae. The record is from the annotation of a RefSeq genome assembly.
CACACUGAAAACUGCAUCAGGAUGAUGUUGCUAACAAUUUUAACUGUGAUGUUGGGUUUUCUGAGUCAAGAGUCUUCUGCCAAUAAAUUUCUGACUCAAACUGAUAAAUCCAAGUCUGUCAGUCCAGGUGGGACUGUGACCAUCAGCGCCACAGGGAGCUCAGAUAUUGGUGCUGAUCUCAGUUGGUACCUUCAGAAACCUGGACAGCCUCCCAAGCUUCUUAUAUACGGGGCAUCAACUCGCUUCUCAGGAGCUCCUUCUCGAUUCAGUGGUAGAAGAUCGGGUUCACUGUACACUUUAACCAUCAGUGGUGUUCAGGCUGAAGAUGCUGGAGAUUAUUACUGUCUGGGUCUGCAUAGUGGUGGAGUGCUCACACAGUGAUUCAGAGCUGUGCAAAAACCUUUGGCUGAAGGCUGCAGGUGCAGAGUGUUGGUGUAUAGACUGUGAUGAGAAUAACUGGUACACUGAACACAAUAGUCAUCAAGUAGAAACACAA